UACGUAGGGUGCGAGCGUUGUCCGGAAUUAUUGGGCGUACAGAGCUCGUAGGCGGUGUGUCGCGUCGGCCGUGAAAACCUGGGGCUCAACUCUGGGCGUGCGGUCGAUACGGGCAUCACUUGAGUUCGGCAGGGGAGACUGGAAUUCCUGGUGUAGCGGUGAAAUGCGCAGAUAUCAGGAGGAACACCGGUGGCGAAGGCGGGUCUCUGGGCCGAUACUGACGCUGAGGAGCGAAAGCAUGGGUAGCGAACAGG
This 254-nucleotide ribosomal RNA is filed under the name uncultured bacterium. Its description in RNAcentral is "partial 16S ribosomal RNA". It matches the Rfam family "Bacterial small subunit ribosomal RNA", at positions 524 to 776 of the family's 1533-position model. The record is from RNAcentral.